AGCCGAAGUGGCCCAACGGUAGACGCUGGGGGUUUAAAACCCCCCUGUCCAGCGUCCACUCUGGACAUGCAGGUUCGAAUCCUGCCUCGGCUU
This 93-nucleotide transfer RNA is filed under the name Phycisphaeraceae bacterium. Its description in RNAcentral is "tRNA-Leu". It matches the Rfam family "tRNA". Rfam says of the family: Transfer RNA (tRNA) molecules are approximately 80 nucleotides in length. Lineage: Bacteria; Pseudomonadati; Planctomycetota; Phycisphaerae; Phycisphaerales; Phycisphaeraceae. The record is from RNAcentral.